This 432-nucleotide ribosomal RNA is filed under the name uncultured bacterium. Its description in RNAcentral is "partial 16S ribosomal RNA". It matches the Rfam family "Bacterial small subunit ribosomal RNA", at positions 29 to 506 of the family's 1533-position model. The record is from RNAcentral.
AACGAACGCUGGCGGCAUGCCUAACACAUGCAAGUCGAACGAGACCUUCGGGUCUAGUGGCGCACGGGUGCGUAACGCGUGGGAACCUGCCCUUAGGUUCGGAAUAACUCCCCGAAAGGGGUGCUAAUACCGGAUAAUGUCUUCGGACCAAAGAUUUAUCGCCUUUGGAUGGGCCCGCGUUGGAUUAGCUAGUUGGUAGGGUAAAAGCCUACCAAGGCGACGAUCCAUAGCUGGUCUGAGAGGAUGAUCAGCCACACUGGGACUGAGACACGGCCCAGACUCCUGCGGGAGGCAGCAGUGGUGAAUAUUGGACAAUGGGCGAAAGCCUGAUCCAGCACUGCCGCGUGAGUGAUGAAGGCCUUAGGGUUGUAAAGCUCUUUUACCCGGGAUGAUAAUGACGGUACCGGGAGAAUAAGCUCCGGCUAACUCCGU